UGUUGGCAGGAGGGUGCUGCUGCAGGGAAGUGCUGCUGCAGGAGGGUGCUGCUGCAGAGGGUUUUGCUAUGCUCUUAGCAUGUCAAAGGAGCAGCAAAGAUGCCAAUGUGUACAGAGGAGGCUGAGUGGUAGGAAAUGGGGUCAGGUAGGUACUAGGGCAGGAUGCUGCAGUCCUUUAGGCCACGCAAAUGUGAAUUCUUUUGUGGGUGAGGCACAAGGCAGGACGGCAUAGAGUGCACUCCAGAGCUAAUCUGUGGAGGUCUUAUCCUGACUCUUCCACAUGGGAGCUGUAAGACCUCAGGAUAGUCAUAUGCCCUCUCUGAUAGGUGGAUGUAUAAUAGCUGUAGGAUGUAGAUCAUGCCACAGCUGGCCUCACAGGAGUGUUGUGAAGACUGACAAUCUGUAAAGCACUAACAUCCUUCGGCACAUAAUAAGUGCGGUAUAAAUAAGUAUUUAACUUUUAUUGUGUGGAAAGCCCCUGGCAAGGUUAAGCUGAAGAGUGCCAGUGACUUAGAUUACUCCUGUGAAGGCUCUCUGUAUGCUCACUGGGGAGAACAGACUGGAAGGAGGCAAGAGGAGAGGUCAGUGAGGAGGCCAGAGAUCAGUGGUGGAGGCCAGAGUGGCAGUGGCUUCGAUGUGGCAGGGAUGGUCAUGAUGGGGCUUCUGGAUGAAUUCCGAAAGCAGAUUUGCCAUGAUUUGCUAAUGGACUGGAUAAAGGGUAUAAGUGAAGGGGAGGAGUAAGCUUGUCUUUCAGAACUGAGCUUGAGUAACUGAGCAAAUGGUGGUGCCAAUUUAUCGAUAUGGGGAGAACGGAGGGAGGAGGAUUUUGCUUGAUUGGUUGGUUUGUUUUGUUUUCUUUUUUUUUUUUUUUUUGUUUCGGUCUGGAGAAGGAUUAAGACAUAUUAAGAGAGGAAAGUUCAAGUUAAAUGAGAAGCUCUCAAAAGUUCAAUUCUGACAAUAUAGUUACAAAGGAUUCCAAAAUGGGAGAAAAGAGGACGGCAUCUGAAGAUGCUUAUGUAGUUAUAGGGUUUGUUAUUUAAUGAGCUCAGAUUAUUCCUUUAAGGCAAAAAGAGAUAAAGUGGCAUGAAACUGUACCCACACAUUGUACCAAUAUCAAUUUCCUGGGUUUGCUAUUGUACUAUAGCUAAGUAAGAUGUUAG
This 1160-nucleotide long non-coding RNA is filed under the name Homo sapiens (human). RNAcentral describes it as "non-protein coding lnc-RGSL1-6:2". The record is from RNAcentral. Lineage: Eukaryota; Metazoa; Chordata; Mammalia; Primates; Hominidae.